UGGGGAAUUUUGGACAAUGGGCGAAAGCCUGAUCCAGCCAUGCCGCGUGAGUGAAGAAGGCCUUCGGGUUGUAAAGCUCUUUUAGUCGGGAAGAAAAGAUCAUAAUGAACAAUUAUGAUUCAUGACGGUACCGACAUAAAAAGCACCGGCUAACUACGUGCCAGCAGCCGCGGUAAUACGUAGGGUGCGAGCGUUAAUCGGAAUUACUGGGCGUAAAGGGUGCGCAGGCGGUUUUGUAAGUCAGAUGUGAAAUCCCCGGGCUUAACCUGGGAAUUGCGUUUGAAACUGCAAGACUAGAGUGCAGCAGAGGGGAGUGGAAUUCCAUGUGUAGCAGUGAAAUGCGUAGAUAUGUGGAAGAACACCGAUGGCGAAGGCAGCUCCCUGGGUUGACACUGACGCUCAUGCACGAAAGCGUGGGGAGCAAACA
Molecule: ribosomal RNA, 427 nt
Filed under: uncultured beta proteobacterium
Lineage: Bacteria; Pseudomonadati; Pseudomonadota; Betaproteobacteria
Description: bacterial SSU rRNA
Rfam family: Bacterial small subunit ribosomal RNA
Source: RNAcentral